GACGUAGGGGGCGAGCGUUGUCCGGAAUUACUGGGCGUAAAGAGCACGUAGGCGGGACUACAGGUCAGGUGUGAAAGACCGCGGCUCAACCCGGGAAGUGCAUUCAAAACUGGCAAGCUAGAGUAUGGUAGAGGGUGGUGGAAUUUCCUGUGUAGCGGUGAAAUGCGUAGAUAUAGGAAGGAACACCAGUGGCGAAGGCGACUGACUGGACUGACCCUGACGCUGAGGUGCGAAAGCGUGGGUAGCAAACAGG
RNAcentral lists this ribosomal RNA (253 nucleotides) under uncultured bacterium. RNAcentral's name for it is "partial 16S ribosomal RNA". It matches the Rfam family "Bacterial small subunit ribosomal RNA", at positions 524 to 776 of the family's 1533-position model. The record is from RNAcentral.